AUUGAACGCUGGCGGCAGGCUUAACACAUGCAAGUCGAGCGGGGUGAUGGUGCUUGCACUAUCACUUAGCGGCGGACGGGUGAGUAAUGCUUAGGAAUCUGCCUAUUAGUGGGGGACAACAUCUCGAAAGGGAUGCUAAUACCGCAUACGUCCUACGGGAGAAAGCAGGGGAUCACUUGUGACCUUGCGCUAAUAGAUGAGCCUAAGUCGGAUUAGCUAGUUGGUGGGGUAAAGGCCUAACAAGGCGACGAUCUGUAGCGGGUCUGAGAGGAGGAUCCGCCACACUGGGACUGUGACACGGCCCAGACUCCUACGGGAGGCAGCAGAGGGGAAUAUUGGACAAUGGGGGGAACCCUGGUCCAGCCAUGCCGCGUGUGUGAAGAAGGCCUUAUGGUUGUAAAGCACUUUAAGCGAGGAGGAGGCUCUUUUGGUUAAUGCCCAAGAUGAGUGGACGUUACUCGCAGAAUAAGCACCGGCUAACUCUGUGCCAGCAGCCGCCGUAA
Molecule: ribosomal RNA, 503 nt
Filed under: uncultured bacterium
Lineage: Bacteria
Description: partial 16S ribosomal RNA
Rfam family: Bacterial small subunit ribosomal RNA
Source: RNAcentral